RNAcentral lists this ribosomal RNA (437 nucleotides) under uncultured bacterium. RNAcentral describes it as "bacterial SSU rRNA". It matches the Rfam family "Bacterial small subunit ribosomal RNA", at positions 339 to 791 of the family's 1533-position model. The record is from RNAcentral.
AUACGGGAGGCAGCAGUGGGGAAUUUUGCGCAAUGGGGGAAACCCUGACGCAGCAACGCCGCGUGGACGAUGAAGCUUCUUGGAGUGUAAAGUCCUUUCGGCAGGGACGAAUUAAUGACGGUACCUGCAGAAGAAGCCCCGGCUAACUCCGUGCCAGCAGCCGCGGUAAUACGGGGGGGGCAAGCGUUGUUCGGAAUUAUUGGGCGUAAAGGGCGCGUAGGCGGUGUGGUAAGUCAGGUGUGAAACCUCCAGGCUCAACUUGGAGCUUGCAUCUGAAACUGCCGUGCUAGAGUGUGGGAGAGGAGAGUGGAAUUCCUGGUGUAGCGGUGAAAUGCGUAGAUAUCAGGAGGAACACCGGUGGCGAAGGCGGCUCUCUGGACCACAACUGACGCUGAGGCGCGAAAGCUAGGGGAGCAAACAGGAUUAGAUACCCCGGU